UACAGAGGUGGCAAGCGUUGUUCGGAAUUACUGGGCGUAAAGGGCGCGUAGGUGGCCUUCUUAGUCAGACGUGAAAUCCCCAGGCUUAACCUGGGAACUGCGUCUGAUACUGGAAGGCUUGAGUUCGGGAGAGGAAUGUGGAAUUCCAGGUGUAGCGGUGAAAUGCGUAGAUAUCUGGAGGAACACCGGUGGCGAAGGCGGCAUUCUGGACUGCAACUGACACUGAGGAACGAAAGCCAGGGGAGCAAACGGG
This 253-nucleotide ribosomal RNA is filed under the name uncultured bacterium. RNAcentral describes it as "partial 16S ribosomal RNA". It matches the Rfam family "Bacterial small subunit ribosomal RNA", at positions 524 to 776 of the family's 1533-position model. The record is from RNAcentral.